Molecule: ribosomal RNA, 490 nt
Filed under: uncultured bacterium
Lineage: Bacteria
Description: partial 16S ribosomal RNA
Rfam family: Bacterial small subunit ribosomal RNA
Source: RNAcentral
AUUGAACGCUGGCGGCAGGCCUAACACAUGCAAGUCGAGCGGUAACAGGAAGCAGCUUGCUGCUUCGCUGACGAGUGGCGGACGGGCGAGUAAUGUCUGGGAAACUGCCUGAUGGAGGGGGAUAACAACUGGAAACGGUAGCUAAUACCGCAUAACGUCGCAAGACCAAAGAGGGGGACCUUAGGGCCUCUUGCCAUCGGAUGUGCCCAGAUGGGAUUAGCUAGUAGGUGGGGUAACGGCUCACCUAGGCGACGAUCCCUAGCUGGUCUGAGAGGAUGACCAGCCACACUGGAACUGAGACACGGUCCAGACUCCUACGGGAGGCAGCAGUGGGGAAUAUUGCACAAUGGGCGCAAGCCUGAUGCAGCCAUGCCGCGUGUAUGAAGAAGGCCUUCGGGUUGUAAAGUACUUUCAGCGGGGAGGAAGGGAGUAAAGUUAAUACCUUUGCUGAUUGACGUUACCCGCAGAAGAAGCACCGGCUAACUCCGUG